AUUGAACGCUGGCGGCAUGCCUUACACAUGCAAGUCGAACGGCAGCACGGGAGCAAUCCUGGUGGCGAGUGGCGAACGGGUGAGUAAAGUAUCGGAACGUGCCCAGUCGUGGGGGAUAACGUAGCGAAAGUUACGCUAAUACCGCAUACGAUCUAUGGAUGAAAGAGGGGGAUCGCAAGACCUCGCGCGAUUGGAGCGGCCGAUAUCAGAUUAGGUAGUUGGUGUGGUAAAGGACCAACAAGCCGACGAUCUGUAGAUGGUCUGACGGGACGACCAGCCACACUGGGAAUGAGACACGGCCCAGACUCCUACGGGAGGCGGCAGUGGGGAAUUUUGGACAAUGGGCGAAAGCCUGAUCCAGCCAUGCCGCGUGCAGGAUGAAGGCCUUCGGGUUGUAAACUGCUUUUGUACGGAACGAAAAGGACUGCCCUAAUACGGUGGUCCCAUGACGGUACCGUAAGAAUAAGCACCGGCUAACUACGUGCCAGCAGCCGCAGUAA
This 500-nucleotide ribosomal RNA is filed under the name uncultured bacterium. RNAcentral's name for it is "partial 16S ribosomal RNA". It matches the Rfam family "Bacterial small subunit ribosomal RNA", at positions 30 to 523 of the family's 1533-position model. The record is from RNAcentral.